RNAcentral lists this ribosomal RNA (435 nucleotides) under uncultured bacterium. Its description in RNAcentral is "bacterial SSU rRNA". It matches the Rfam family "Bacterial small subunit ribosomal RNA", at positions 43 to 524 of the family's 1533-position model. The record is from RNAcentral.
CAGGCCUAACACAUGCAAGUCGAACGAGACCUUCGGGUCUAGUGGCGCACGGGUGCGUAACGCGUGGGAAUCUGCCCUUGGGUUCGGAAUAACAGCUAGAAAUGGCUGCUAAUACCGGAUGAUGACGUAAGUCCAAAGAUUUAUCGCCCAAGGAUGAGCCCGCGUAGGAUUAGCUAGUUGGUGGGGUAAAGGCCCACCAAGGCGACGAUCCUUAGCUGGUCUGAGAGGAUGAUCAGCCACACUGGGACUGAGACACGGCCCAGACUCCUACGGGAGGCAGCAGUGGGGAAUAUUGGACAAUGGGCGAAAGCCUGAUCCAGCAAUGCCGCGUGAGUGAUGAAGGCCUUAGGGUUGUAAAGCUCUUUUACCCGGGAUGAUAAUGACAGUACCGGGAGAAUAAGCUCCGGCUAACUCCGUGCCAGCAGCCGCGGUAAU